UUGAACGCUGGCGGCAGGCCUAACACAUGCAAGUCGCACGGUAACAGGAAGCAGCUUGCUGCUUCGCUGACGAGUGGCGGACGGGUGAGUAAUGUCUGGGAAACUGCCUGAUGGAGGGGGAUAACUACUGGAAACGGUAGCUAAUACCGCAUAACGUCGCAAGACCAAAGAGGGGGACCUUAGGGCCUCUUGCCAUCGGAUGUGCCCAGAUGGGAUUAGCUAGUAGGUGGGGUAACGGCUCACCUAGGCGACGAUCCCUAGCUGGUCUGAGAGGAUGACCAGCCACACUGGAACUGAGACACGGUCCAGACUCCUACGGGAGGCAGCAGUGGGGAAUAUUGCACAAUGGGCGCAAGCCUGAUGCAGCCAUGCCGCGUGUAUGAAGAAGGCCUUCGGGUUGUAAAGUACUUUCAGCGGGGAGGAAGGGAGUAAAGUUAAUACCUUUGCUCAUUGACGUUACCCGCAGAAGAAGCGCCGGCUAACUCCGCG
RNAcentral lists this ribosomal RNA (489 nucleotides) under uncultured bacterium. Its description in RNAcentral is "partial 16S ribosomal RNA". It matches the Rfam family "Bacterial small subunit ribosomal RNA", at positions 30 to 507 of the family's 1533-position model. The record is from RNAcentral.